Molecule: long non-coding RNA, 572 nt
Organism: Oncorhynchus keta (chum salmon)
Lineage: Eukaryota; Metazoa; Chordata; Actinopteri; Salmoniformes; Salmonidae
Exons: 3
Source: RefSeq, a predicted model, not a curated record
AUUGUUCAUAUGUUGUAUUUGUAUUAAAAGCAUUACAGAAGUAUACCGUUAGAUCAGUUUAUCUUAACCUGGCCGUUUGUUACUUUGUGGCAGUAUGAAAAAUGAUAAAAUAUAUUAUCAACAAACUCAUGGUGCUGAGUGUUUUUACUUAAAGGCAGUCGCUGUUUAAACUGGAUAAGUCCUUUGCGCAACUGCAGUGAAGACUUCGCGCACCGUUCCCGCAAUUUCGCAUAAAUUGUUGAGACACACCUCUAAACAAGAGAACGGAAAGUUUUCAGCUCUUCACGGUCGAAGACGGGAUGUUUUAGCAGAAGUAUUUUAGAUUCACACGAUAGAGAACACAGCAAUUUUGACGGUCUGGGUCGAGGAAACGAAACGCAAACCAAGCAAGAUAAAUGUUUCCUUAUCGGCUCGCUUGUCAGGACUGUGGUGUGAAGUUUGACACCAUCCGCCGCUUCAAGCAGCAUGUCCGCAGGAAGCAACAUCAACAGGUGCGAUUGUCAUGCAGCUCAUAAUUGCUCAAGAUGUGUUUUGUACAAACUGCAUUUCUAAGCUAUGCAGGCCAACCCUCC